This 445-nucleotide ribosomal RNA is filed under the name uncultured bacterium. Its description in RNAcentral is "partial 16S ribosomal RNA". It matches the Rfam family "Bacterial small subunit ribosomal RNA", at positions 354 to 796 of the family's 1533-position model. The record is from RNAcentral.
GUGAGGAAUAUUGGUCAAUGGGCGAGAGCCUGAACCAGCCAAGUCGCGUGAAGGAAGAAGGAUCUAUGGUUCGUAAACUUCUUUUGCAGGGGAAUAAAGUGCGGGACGUGUCCUGUUUUGUAUGUACCCUGAGAAUAAGGAUCGGCUAACUCCGUGCCAGCAGCCGCGGUAAUACGGAGGAUCCGAGCGUUAUCCGGAUUUAUUGGGUUUAAAGGGUGCGUAGGUGGUUUGAUAAGUCAGCGGUGAAAGUUUGCAGCUUAACUGUAAAAAUGCCGUUGAAACUGUCGGACUUGAGUGUAAAGGAGGUAGGCGGAAUGCGUGGUGUAGCGGUGAAAUGCAUAGAUAUCCCGCAGAACUCCGAUUGCGAAGGCAGCUUACUAAGCUACAACUGACACUGAAGCACGAAAGCGUGGGGAUCAAACAGGAUUAGAACCCCUAGUAGUCC